RNAcentral lists this ribosomal RNA (364 nucleotides) under uncultured eukaryote. Its description in RNAcentral is "partial 18S ribosomal RNA". It matches the Rfam family "Eukaryotic small subunit ribosomal RNA", at positions 592 to 976 of the family's 1831-position model. The record is from RNAcentral.
CAAAAGCGUAUAUUAAAGUUGUUGCAGUUAAAAAGCUCGUAGUUGAACCUUGGGCUUGGCUGGCCGGUCCAUCUUUUUUGAUGCGUACUGGACCCAGCCGAGCCUUUCCUUCUGGCUAGCCUUUUGGCGAACCAGGACUUUUACUUUGAAAAAAUUAGAGUGUUCAAAGCAGGCCUUUGCUCGAAUAUAUUAGCAUGGAAUAAUAGAAUAGGACGUUAUGGUUCUAUUUUGUUGGUUUCUAGGACCAUCGUAAUGAUUAAUAGGGACGGUCGGGGGCAUCAGUAUUCAGUUGUCAGAGGUGAAAUUCUUGGAUUUACUGAAGACUAACUACUGCGAAAGCAUUUACCAAGGACGUUUUCAUUAA